Gadus morhua (Atlantic cod) is the source of this 1604-nucleotide long non-coding RNA. RefSeq lists it as uncharacterized. NCBI's taxonomy places the organism in Eukaryota, Metazoa, Chordata, Actinopteri, Gadiformes, Gadidae. The record is from RefSeq and is a predicted model, not a curated record. The transcript is spliced from 4 exons.
AUUUUUUAGUUCCUACCUGCCUUUCAGUUUGAGGGGGCAAUGGCCGUUUCUGAAAUGGCAUACUACAUACUGCUCGUAUACUGAUCGUGACGUAAAAGUAUAUACAUCCAGAGCUCACUACGUCGGAUACUGUAUCCCAUAAUGCAACGCGGCACCGUUGGAAAAAAACCGUUGAACAUUUCGAAUAAUGGCGGCGGAAAAUGCGAGCGAUGAAUAUAAAUGGACUGAUGUAGACACCGCAGCUCUCAUCAGUUGGAGAUCUACGAAUGAGGGCAUGUUCACGGGCAGGAGGAAUGCGGCGCAGAAGGGGUUCGACAUGCUGCAUUUCAUUGUUGUCGGGGAGAUCCUGUGGAAAGUCUCCUGGCUCCACAAAGUCUCCAUUUGAUAGGCACAAGUUGUGGAGGAAGACACAGCAGGACACCACCACUGGGGCAAAGGUUGACUUUACCUAUGUGCAGAGAUGGGCAGUAUUUUAAAUUAGAUGUAUUUAAAAUAUGCAUUUAAUUACUUUUGAGUAUCUUAUUCAACAUAAGACAAAAAUAGAAACUAAUCUGUAACAGACAGAUAUUGCAUGCCAAGGAAAGCUACUGAAUAACAGUGAAAUACAAGCAUUUUCUCAUAUUGUCAUUUUAUGCUCAUUUAAAUUUCAUAAGCAUUUGCACAUUGACACACACACUUGUAUGUAUUAUGUUUUCUUUACCUCAAGGGCCUUCAGAAAGAUGGAUCUCCACCUGGUCUUCAUCAUCCCGAAGGCCCUCUCCACAACACACCUUGCCUUUGACAGGUGCUUGUUGUACCUGGCCUGUACGGGGCCCUGUACUGGCUCCCGGAACGGGGUCAUCAGGCAGAUGGGGGUAGCAAGGCAAGGAUAGCCUCCAUCGCCUAUGAUGCACCACCCAGGUGGUGGGUACAGCUGCUGCACAUACACAGAGCUCCACCUGAGCACCCGGGCAUCAUGGACCGAGCCAGGAAGGCCAACAAAAGCAUUGAGGAAGCGCCCUUUAUGGUCACAAAUGGCCUGCAGCUGAAUUGAAUGGAACAACUUUCUAUUAUAAUAAUCCUCCUUGUAUUCCCCAGGAGGCUUUAUUCUAAUGUGGAUGCAGUCAAUGCUCCCAGCCACACGGUUCAAGGCAGGUGAACCAGCCAGCUGGGCGAACCCCGCUCCGAUGACCUCCAGCUCAGCCUCAGACGGGAAACAUACAGCCUUUGUGUAGAUCUGCAGUAUUCCCUUUGCAACCCGAUGGACAAUCAUGUGGACGGUGGAAAGAGGCACAUCAAAGGCCUCAGAGACCACUCUGUAGGAGGUGGCACUGGCCAGCCAGUAUAGAAAAACUGCCACCUCCAGUUCUCUCCCCCAGCCAUGGAUGUGCUCAUCCACCAGGGCCUCCACAAGGGCAUUCACGGACUCCCUAGAAAGACGGAAGUCUUUCUUUAGGUCGCCGUCACCAAAAAAAAGGGAAACAGCUGGGGUUUUGUCAUUCAGCUGACAAUACUGACCCCUAAGGUCAACCUGAAUGAAGGGAAAACUCUGUUAUUUAAAUCCAUUUUCAUUUAUAUGCAUGUACAAAUAGUUUUACUAUAUUUGAUUAAAAUGUUGUUAUUUG